GGAGGGGUAGCGAAGUGGUCAUAACGCGGCGGUCUUGAAAACCGUUUGGGUUCACCCCCACAUGGGUUCGAAUCCCAUCCCCUCCGCCA
Molecule: transfer RNA, 89 nt
Filed under: Clostridia bacterium
Lineage: Bacteria; Bacillati; Bacillota; Clostridia
Description: tRNA-Ser
Rfam family: tRNA
About the family: Transfer RNA (tRNA) molecules are approximately 80 nucleotides in length. Their secondary structure includes four short double-helical elements and three loops (D, anti-codon, and T loops).
Source: RNAcentral